RNAcentral lists this small nucleolar RNA (107 nucleotides) under Gossypium arboreum. Its description in RNAcentral is "Plant small nucleolar RNA R71". It matches the Rfam family "Plant small nucleolar RNA R71". Rfam says of the family: R71 is a member of the C/D box family of snoRNAs containing the C (UGAUGA) and D (CUGA) box motifs. Lineage: Eukaryota; Viridiplantae; Streptophyta; Magnoliopsida; Malvales; Malvaceae. RNAcentral also lists the same sequence under 1 other name. The record is from Rfam by way of RNAcentral.
AAUCCAUGGUGAGGGUAGCUUCUCAAUAAAUCCUUGUAUCUCUCACAUGCAUCAUAUAGUGUUUCUAAGUCCAUUUGUACAAAAGAAGAGAUAUCAUUCCUUAACUU